UUGUUAGGCCAGUGUUUGCUUUACCAGACAGCUGGGUCACCUGGCCAAGCUGACACAUGAACCUAACCAUCACACAACCCUAUGGGUUUAAAAUUAUUUUUCUAGUACAGUUAAGGAAUAUAGAUUUAAAGUUUCAGUGACUUACUAAGUUGAGGCGCCAUAGGACUAAAGCUGGCAAAUCAAGAAACUAAACCCUGGAUUCUCCAGUCCAAAGCAGCACUCUUCAUGACUUGCUAUAUUUCUUCUUGAGAGAAUAAACUGAAGAACAUCCCAAAGUGCCCUCCAAAAUAAAAUUAUCUGAAAUUGGAAAUGUUUGUGGGUUUCUGUGAUCCAAUUUGAAGGAUAACACCAUAUUUUUAUUUUUACACAUAAACUUUCCUAAAAAACACAGAUAUUUAAAUCACAGGAUUCAUACAUAUUUCCUGGAUUCCACUUACUAUGUAUAUUUCUAAAAACAUAUUAUUAUUAUUGUUCCAGAUCAGGUUGCCUAAAAGAGGAUGGCUCAACAGAAAACUAAUAAAAGGAUGCUACUCUAUUUAGAGAGAAACCAAGUAAAUACCCAGAGAGGAAUGAAAGGAAAGAUGCACUUAAAUGUUCAGCAUCACUGUCAUUUCAAUUUCCUGGAGCCCUUUCUCUUCUGUAUGAGCCUAAUGAUAGCAUUUUUCACUUCCUUGUUCCUGAGACUAUAAAUGAGUGGAUUCAGCAUGGGGACCACCAUAGUAUAAAACACAGAGGCCACUUGAUCUCUUCCAAAGGAGUAGGACUUCUUUGGUUUUAAAUAAGUAAAAAUUGUAGUCGUGUAAUAGAUGGUGACUCCCAAGAGGUGGGAGGCACAAGUUGAGAAGCCUUUGCGUUUUCCUGAAGUGGAAUUAAUUUUCAGGAUAGUAGACACAAUGGACCCAUAGGACACAGAGAUUGUGCCAAGAGACACCAAUUCAUUUAAACUACCAAGAAUAAAUAUCAUGAUUUCAGUGUCAUGAGUGUCAGUACACGACAGGGCUAAAACAGGGGUUAAGUCACAGAAGAAGUGAUAGAUUACAUUGGAUUUGCAGAAAUGCAAACUGCUCAUAUAAACAACAUUGACUAAGGAUUCAGUAAAGCCAAUCAUGUAGGAGCCAGUGAUGAGGGCUCGGCAGAGUCUCAUGGACAUGACAACUGGGUAGUUCAGAGGAUUGCAGAUAGCUACAUAGUGGUCAUAGGCCAUUGAAGAGAGAAAAAAUAAUUCACUGGCAGCAAAGAAAAAAACAAAAGACAUCUGGGUGAAGCAGCCCAUGAAUGAAAUAUACUUGUUGGAAGUCAGUAAGUUCUCUAAUGUUUUAGGUGUGAUGACCAUUGAAUAACAGAGGUCAAGGAAUGACAGGUGACUGAGGAAAUAAUACAUAGGGGUGUGAAGCUGGAGAUCCAGGUGAAUUAUCAGCAUCAUCCCUGCAUUCCCCAGCACAUUAAUCAGGUAAAUCAGUAGAAACAGCAUAAAGAGGACCUGCCGGAUCACUUCUGAUUCUGCCAAUCCCAUAAGGAUGAACUCAGUUACAUUUGUGUUAUUUCUACUUCCCAUAAUAACAUUCAAAUGUUUGUAAACUGUUGAGAAAACAAAAGUGAUACUUAGUUGAAUGAAUUCAAAGCAGUUUUUGUUUAUUGGAAUGAUGUAGUAUGUUUUUUAGAAAAUAGUUUGAUUCUAAAAAUUCAUAAUAAAGAUAAUUUGCAAAAUAUGAAUAAAAAAAUCUUAGUUUGCCUGUCAGAUAUAAAUUAUUUAUAAAUCAUGAUUUGUAUGUUAUAUAACAGAGACUCCUAUAUAUUGCAUAACUACAAUUAAUUUGGCACUUUAUUAACACAUUUAUCCACAUGAAAUGUUAUACCAUAGGUACUGCUUUUGUACACAUUUUCUGGAUGAGAAAGUUAAUGAACUUACCUAGAGUCACAAACAAGAUUAUUUGAACCCAGCGAUCAUGCACAUAAACAAUAUAUUCCACUUAAAAUUAGUUUCAGAGAAAGAGAAAAAAGUACUAUGUCUGUAACAAACAAUGAUACAGAGAUUCAUGAAUUAUUUACUGUUCUAUUGUAUGCAAUAUUAUUUAAUACAGGUAACAGAUCAUAAGUUAAACCUCAGACUACUUUACUGGGAUGUAUUUAUGUUAUAGAUCGCCCAUAACUAUUGAUUUGCAGAAGAUUAUUUAAUCAAAUAUCCUCCAAAAAAUAAAUUUCUGAUACAUGUACAUUGAUUGAUGACUCUGAUUCCAUCAAUUCUAUAUUUCUGUUUACCUAUUUGCUUAAGUAAAUCCUACAUUGUGUGUAUGUGCGUGUGUGUGUAUAAUUCUGAUAUUAUCCCCAUUUUUUAAAGACAAACUAAAAUACUCUAUUUUUGAGAUUAAUACUUACCAUGAGACAAAGUUGGUGAAAAACAUUUUAUAGCUUCUCUGUCUAGAAAUUUCUCAAACUAAAGUUUGUCUCACAAAUAAAAUGUCUAAAUCAUUUAAGGAGCCUGAAAUUUCUGUGCUAUAACAUUUGCUUCCAUAGAGAACUUUUGUUUGAUUUUUUUGAACAUGCAUUUUUUGUGUGUUUUUGUUUAUUUUUAGGUAAAACAAAUCAAUCGAAAAGUUUUGUUCAGGUCCUGGUCAAACAGAAAGUUCACCUGGAAAUUAUGUCUCACAAGUACACCAAGGAGCUACUGUAACCACAAGCAGGGGACAGCAUCCCUUACAUUUCACCCUGAUAAUGCCAGGGCACCUCUUAUAUCGGGAUUGCUGAUAAUGCAACAUUUGUCAUCUCUGGGACCAAUUUCCAGGGAAAAUCACUUGGCAAGAGUCCAAGGAUAAAAUUCAAAGGACUAAUGCGUCUGUGUUUGGUUUGUUACUGGCAGUUGUCUCCCCUUAGUAGCCAUUAAUGUUGAGAGCAUUUUUUGGUAUUCCUUUGUGAUGCUCUAAUUUAUGACUGGGAUAAAGAAAGAUGUUUCUGAAAAAAUACUUAAUUCAUCUGUGGCUGAAAGUCCAGAUCAUUAACCACAAGGUGGUUUAUAUUUACAAUUUUAUAUUUAAAAGUGUGACAUUUUAAUAGGAGUAAACAUUGUUCAUUACACAAAAAAUUGAAAUACAAUAAAAGUUAAAGAAGAAAUUGAAAUGUUAAUCUUUAGAGGUAUUUUCUUCCAAUUAUUUUCCUUUGUGCAUGUAAAGCUUAUUUAUAUCUAUAGCUAUGUGUGUAUAUUAUUUUAUCACACUAUUUUCAAUGAUCUUAUUUUGUUAGUAAAUACUUAUAAUUGACUUAUGUUAUAUAUACUUUUAAAACCAACAAUUUCAUGUAUUUUUCAAUGACUGGUACAGCACAGGUAACUUGUUUCUAGGAGUGUACACCAGCUGAUGAACGGGUGUUUUUGAGACAUCGCAAGGAAAACAUGUUGGAAUUUCUCCAGGCAGUUGCAUCUACCUCCAGAGUCACUGCUGCUGAUCUUUCAUCACUGCUCCUGAAGGACUAUUGGAUGGGGACCAGAGCCAGGAAAGAGGACAAAAUAUUUUGGUGUGAAAAGGAAACCCUGUGAGACAACUUGAAAUUCAAGUUCAUCUGAUCCCUUUUCUAAGUCACUAGAAACAUUUUAAACUAAAUAAUAUUCACAAUGUUUCUCAUUUGAAUUUAGUAAUAUCUUGUGACAUGAAUGUGUUUGCUUCCAUUUUAUAAUUAUGACCAGUAAAGAAAUGCAUUUCAUGCAUGUUACAGCAAAUGUAAGAAUAGUACUUGGGUGUUUAUUUCCACUAUAUCAUUUUUUUUGAUGUAAAAAUGACAAUAUUCGUUUACCAUUGUGAAUUUUCAUAUGAUGUAAUGUGAAAAGAAGUGGUUGAAAUUAAAAAUAAAAUUAAGCAGAAAAGA
This is an RNA transcript of Choloepus didactylus (southern two-toed sloth), 3855 nucleotides long. It is a transcript of the gene named syntaxin-binding protein 5-like, with no coding region annotated. The record is from RefSeq and is a predicted model, not a curated record. NCBI's taxonomy places the organism in Eukaryota, Metazoa, Chordata, Mammalia, Pilosa, Megalonychidae. The transcript is spliced from 2 exons.